GAAACACAGCAAACCGUCUUGGUUUUAGUGUGACAAAUGCAAAUGUUGAGCAAAUUCCAGGACUCAACACCCUUGGCAUAUCAGCAGUCCGUAUUGACUAUGCACCAUACGGCCAAAACCCACCUCACACGCACCCUCGGGCCACUGAGAUCCUGGUGGUCCUGGAGGGAACACUUUAUGUUGGUUUUGUGACAUCAAACCAGCUGAAUAACACACUCAUUGCAAAAGUUCUGAACAAGGGAGAUGUUUUUGUGUUUCCGAUUGGCAUGAUUCACUUCCAAUUCAACAUCGGAAAAACAAAUGCAGUUGCAAUUGCUGCUCUAAGCAGCCAGUUCCCUGGUGUCAUUACCAUAGCAAACACGGUCUUCGGAGCCAAUCCUCCAAUCAAUCCUGAUUUUCUUGCCAAGGCGUUCCAGUUGGAUGUGAAUGUGGUGAAAGAACUUGAGGCUAAGUUCUGAUUAAAUGUGUCACUUAUUUGAAUAACAUAUUGCCAUUUAUGUUUCAGCUUGUUCUCAUUAUUGUCCUUGUUAGUUUUGAUAUGAUAAAAAGAUUCGUACGAACGUUCCUAUCUCGAGUCAGCUUUGCUUGUUUUUCCAAACUUAUUAAAUAUUAAAAUAAUGAAUAUCAAUUUCUUUUUGGUGAGAGUCGUUAGCAAUUGAUAUUGUAAUAAAUAAUCAAUAUCUCUAACAAAUCUGAACUACUCCAGUAGUAGUUAGGUAUUAUUAUUAUUUUUGUUGGAAGACUAAAUUUGGUUCCUUCUGAGUGUUUUUGUCUUUUAAUAUAUUUUUAUAAAUCUAAAAAAAAAGGGGGCGUGGGGCCGCGGGGCCGCUAUGGGAGAAUUUUAAAUCGUACUCUUUACUUCUUGAAAAUUAAAACUCAAGUGGCCAACUAAUAAAAAAGACUGCUUGAAAAUAAUCCAACCCUUUGGGGUUAUCAUAAUUCCUUUCAUUUAUGUUCAUUAAAAAUCUAGAUUAUAUCAUUGUUAUAUAUUUUAAAAAUUUCAGAUAUUGUUUUAUUUUCAUUUUUCUAUUUUCCACGGAAGAAAAGGGUUUUCAUUAGGAAACUAUUACUAUAACGUAACGAAAAUUAUUAUAUAAAGGUAUUUGAAAAAAAUAUAAUAAAGGAUGAGAAACAUAAUGAUCCUCACCACUCAUUGUAGUUUUGUUCAAUUGGAAAGAAUAUGUAUAGGAAUUUAUAUCUGUGGAUUAGGUUCUUUCUCGUAGAAAAUUUUGCAGCACGUAACCUCUUUAUAAAGAAUUAGUCUUUGUUUUUUUAAUUAAGACUCUAAUCCAUCCAAUGGCUUGACUGUAAACCACCUCCCUUCCGACCCAUUUAGGUAACUGUUGGAGUCUUUUAGUGUGACUUGUGUGGUUCAUCUAAUUCCAAAUAUUUAGAAGUAGCAGAGAAGAUCUUUUGAUCAGUUUAAAUAGCACCUAACACUCAGAAAAAAUAAUAAUGAUAAUAAUUGAUGACAUAUUACUUAAAGAUACAACCUUAAGGCAGCUAAACAAGAAAAUUGCGCAAAGUAAGUUCACCAGAAAUUCUUUUGGGCCUGUGAGGACCCAGUCUCAAAAUAUUUACGCCCCUGCAUAAAACGUAAUGAAAAACAUAAAGAAAUUAAAAUGAACUUGAAGUUGGAGUUUGUCAAUGAAAUUUUCAGAUAUUAUAAUAAUAGAGAAAAAGAUUCCCGUGACUUCAGUAACUCAAAAAUAUGUUGAUGUCAUGUAAGCAUGUGAAGAAGAAAAUGUACUGAAACGACAAGUUGCCUUAGUUGUUUUAGAACCAGUACUAAUGGAUUGAGUUUAAUUAAAGUCACAGACAAACAAUUGAAGACUUGGCAAGUUUUCAUCUACUCCGAUAUAAAUAGAGUUGCUUACCUUGCAACAUCUCUCACCUCUCACUAAACCAAUAAUAAUAAGUUCAGAAAUUGAUUAAACAGAGUGAGAUCCUACAGCUAGCUAGCUAGCUAAUUAAACACACAAUGAAAACCAGUGUUCAAUUUCUUAAAGGUUUUGCUCUCUUGGUUUUAGCUUCUUCGUUGGCCUCUGCCUUUGAUCCUAGUCCUCUUCAGGAUAUCUGUGUAGCCAUCGAUGAGCCCAAGAACGCAGGCAUAUAUAUAUAACAUAGAAAAACUUUAAUUUAAUUUCUCAUUUUCUGUGUCUUAAGCUUGUAUGUUUUUGGCGUCAAAUUCACCUUAUGAAUUAAAUAUUCUUAAUUCUUCUGUGCAGUUUUUGUUAACGGGAAGUUCUGCAAGGACCCCAAGCUUGCUAAAGCUCAAGAUUUCUUCUUAUCAGGGCUAGACAAGCCUGGAAACACAGCAAACCGUCUUGGUUUUAGUGUGACAAAUGCAAAUGUUGAGCAAAUUCCAGGACUCAACACCCUUGGCAUAUCAGCAGUCCGUAUUGACUAUGCACCAUACGGCCAAAACCCACCUCACACGCACCCUCGGGCCACUGAGAUCCUGGUGGUCCUGGAGGGAACACUUUAUGUUGGUUUUGUGACAUCAAACCAGCUGAAUAACACACUCAUUGCAAAAGUUCUGAACAAGGGAGAUGUUUUUGUGUUUCCGAU
This 2571-nucleotide long non-coding RNA is filed under the name Citrus sinensis (sweet orange). RNAcentral describes it as "long non-coding RNA (CSIN_LNC002305)". Lineage: Eukaryota; Viridiplantae; Streptophyta; Magnoliopsida; Sapindales; Rutaceae. The record is from RNAcentral.